GAUGAACGCUGGCGGCGUGCCUAAUACAUGCAAGUCGAGCGAACAGACGAGGAGCUUGCUCCUCUGACGUUAGCGGCGGACGGGUGAGUAACACGUGGAUAACCUACCUAUAAGACUGGGAUAACUUCGGGAAACCGGAGCUAAUACCGGAUAAUAUAUUGAACCGCAUGGUUCAAUAGUGAAAGACGGUUUUGCUGUCACUUAUAGAUGGAUCCGCGCCGCAUUAGCUAGUUGGUAAGGUAACGGCUUACCAAGGCAACGAUGCGUAGCCGACCUGAGAGGGUGAUCGGCCACACUGGAACUGAGACACGGUCCAGACUCCUACGGGAGGCAGCAGUAGGGAAUCUUCCGCAAUGGGCGAAAGCCUGACGGAGCAACGCCGCGUGAGUGAUGAAGGUCUUCGGAUCGUAAAACUCUGUUAUUAGGCAAGAACAAAUGUGUAAGUAACUAUGCACGUCUUGACGGUACCUAAUCAGAAAGCCACGGCUAACUACGUG
This 497-nucleotide ribosomal RNA is filed under the name uncultured bacterium. Its description in RNAcentral is "partial 16S ribosomal RNA". It matches the Rfam family "Bacterial small subunit ribosomal RNA", at positions 28 to 507 of the family's 1533-position model. The record is from RNAcentral.